GCCCGCUUGGCGAAAUCGGUAGACGCACCGGAUUUAAAAUCCGUUGCCCUCAAGGGCGUGCCGGUUCGAGUCCGGCAGCGGGCA
RNAcentral lists this transfer RNA (84 nucleotides) under Arboricoccus pini. Its description in RNAcentral is "Arboriscoccus pini tRNA". It matches the Rfam family "tRNA". Rfam says of the family: Transfer RNA (tRNA) molecules are approximately 80 nucleotides in length. Their secondary structure includes four short double-helical elements and three loops (D, anti-codon, and T loops). Lineage: Bacteria; Pseudomonadati; Pseudomonadota; Alphaproteobacteria; Geminicoccales; Geminicoccaceae. The record is from Rfam by way of RNAcentral.